Molecule: ribosomal RNA, 484 nt
Filed under: uncultured bacterium
Lineage: Bacteria
Description: partial 16S ribosomal RNA
Rfam family: Bacterial small subunit ribosomal RNA
Source: RNAcentral
AUUGAACGCUGGCGGCAGGCCUAACACAUGCAAGUCGGGCGGAUGAAGGGAGCUUGCUCCUGGAUUCAGCGGCGGACGGGUGGGUAAUGCCUAGGAAUCUGCCUGGUAGUGGGGGAUAACGUCCGGAAACGGGCGCUAAUACCGCAUACGUCCUGAGGGAGAAAGUGGGGGAUCUUCGGACCUCACGCUAUCAGAUGAGCCUAGGUCGGAUUAGCUAGUUGGUGGGGUAAAGGCCUACCAAGGCGACGAUCCGUAACUGGUCUGAGAGGAUGAUCAGUCACACUGGAACUGAGACACGGUCCAGACUCCUACGGGAGGCAGCAGUGGGGAAUAUUGGACAAUGGGCGAAAGCCUGAUCCAGCCAUGCCGCGUGUGUGAAGAAGGUCUUCGGAUUGUAAAGCACUUUAAGUUGGGAGGAAGGGCAGUAAGUUAAUACCUUGCUGUUUUGACGUUACCAACAGAAUAAGCACCGGCUAACUUCGUG